ACAAAGGCUCUUUUCAGAGCCACCCACUUUCUCCAUUUACAGAGCU
Bos taurus (domestic cattle) is the source of this 46-nucleotide non-coding RNA. The record is from Rfam. NCBI's taxonomy places the organism in Eukaryota, Metazoa, Chordata, Mammalia, Artiodactyla, Bovidae.